AGUGAACGCUGGCGGUAGGCCUAACACAUGCAAGUCGAACGGCAGCACAGUAAGAGCUUGCUCUUACGGGUGGCGAGUGGCGGACGGGUGAGGAGUACAUCGGAAUCUACUUUUUCGUGGGGGAUAACGUAGGGAAACUUACGCUAAUACCGCAUACGACCUACGGGUGAAAGCAGGGGAUCUUCGGACCUUGCGCGAUUGAAUGAGCCGAUGUCGGAUUAGCUAGUUGGCGGGGUAAAGGCCCACCAAGGCGACGAUCCGUAGCUGGUCUGAGAGGAUGAUCAGCCACACUGGAACUGAGACACGGUCCAGACUCCUACGGGAGGCAGCAGUGGGGAAUAUUGGACAAUGGGCGCAAGCCUGAACCAGCCAUACCGCGUGGGUGAAGAAGGCCUUCGGGUUGUAAAGCCCUUUUGUUGGGAAAGAAAAGCAGCAGGUUAAUACCCCGCUGUUCUGACGGUACCCAAAGAAUAAGCACCGGCUAACUUCGUG
Molecule: ribosomal RNA, 492 nt
Filed under: uncultured bacterium
Lineage: Bacteria
Description: partial 16S ribosomal RNA
Rfam family: Bacterial small subunit ribosomal RNA
Source: RNAcentral